This 253-nucleotide ribosomal RNA is filed under the name uncultured bacterium. Its description in RNAcentral is "partial 16S ribosomal RNA". It matches the Rfam family "Bacterial small subunit ribosomal RNA", at positions 524 to 776 of the family's 1533-position model. The record is from RNAcentral.
UACGUAGGGGGCGAGCGUUGUCCGGAAUUAUUGGGCGUAAAGAGCGCGUAGGCGGUCCUUUAAGUCAGAUGUGAAAGCCCAGGGCUCAACCCUGGAAGUGCAUUUGAAACUAAAGGACUUGAGUAUGGGAGAGGGAAGUGGAAUUCCUGGUGUAGCGGUGAAAUGCGUAGAGAUCAGGAGGAACACCGGUGGCGAAGGCGACUUCCUGGACCAAUACUGACGAUGAGGCGCGAAGGAGUGGGGAGCAAACAGG